RNAcentral lists this long non-coding RNA (502 nucleotides) under Manihot esculenta (cassava). Its description in RNAcentral is "long non-coding RNA (MESC_LNC007872)". The record is from RNAcentral. Lineage: Eukaryota; Viridiplantae; Streptophyta; Magnoliopsida; Malpighiales; Euphorbiaceae.
UUUCUUAUUUUUAAGAGAGUCCCGAUAUGGUGAAUUUAUGUUUCAUCUUUCUCUUCCUUUUUCUUUAAAACUGAAAAUUUCAAUCUCAACGAGUGAAGCUAGGGUUAUGAGGUAUUGAAGGCAACCGACCACGCACAGAUUCGGCAUCGAGAACGACCUAAAAUGGCCAAAGAAGCCACUACCUUGCACGUGUGCUUCCUCUCUCUCUUUGUAAUCAGCUGUUGCUACGGUUGUUGGCCAUCGAUCGUGGCUGCUUAGAGGUCGCCGGUCAUCGCUCAUCUUUCGAUGAAGGUCACUGCCACCGAUGGUGAGGGUGGUGGUCGGUGGAAGUGAGAGAGAGAAGGGAAGAAAGAGAGAGAGGGAGAGAGAGAGUGUGAGAGGUUGUUGAUUUCACGUUUUUCUUUUCUUUUGUUUUUUUUUCAGCUUAUCAUGUAUAAUUACAUAUUAAUACUUAAUCUUUUAAAGAUAACUCAAACCAAUACAAAUUUUUUUAAACAAUCAA